This 298-nucleotide ribosomal RNA is filed under the name uncultured Sphingomonadaceae bacterium. RNAcentral's name for it is "partial 16S ribosomal RNA". It matches the Rfam family "Bacterial small subunit ribosomal RNA", at positions 111 to 426 of the family's 1533-position model. The record is from RNAcentral. Lineage: Bacteria; Pseudomonadati; Pseudomonadota; Alphaproteobacteria; Sphingomonadales; Sphingomonadaceae.
UAACGCGUGGGAAUCUGCCCUACAGUGGGGAAUAACGACGGGAAACUGUCGCUAAUACCGCAUACGCCCUUAGGGGGAAAGAUUUAUCGCUGAUAGAUGAGCCCGCGUACGAUUAGCUAGUUGGUGAGGUAAUGGCUCACCAAGGCUACGAUCGUUAGCUGGUCUGAGAGGAUGAUCAGCCACACUGGGACUGAGACACGGCCCAGACUCCUACGGGAGGCAGCAGUGGGGAAUAUUGGACAAUGGGCGAAAGCCUGAUCCAGCAAUGCCGCGUGAGUGAUGAAGGCCUUAGGGUUGU